GCUUCUGAGAGAUGGAAACUCCCACUGAAGCUAUGAGAAAAGCAAUUCAUGUAGAUGAUUCAAAUGAUGUUCCAGUGAGGAGAGCACAGCCCAGAGCCUGCCUGUACUGCAGGUGGCAGUGGGACUGAACCAGCUCCUCUCCCAUCAGGGAGACUGAGCUGUCCAGGGUUGGUUGGAGCACAAGACAUGGGUUAUGUUUUUCACUCUGAAGACAGCGUGCAUCUAGAAUUAUGUCCUCACAGGGGCUGCUUGAAAUGCUGUGGGAUUCCUGAGCUGAGGUGCCUGGCCAAAAUCCCGUCCUGCUGUCUGCUGUGGGAGAGUGCAUUACCCCACCAGGCAGGGGGCCAUGCUGAACCUGCUGGGUUUUUAACUAGGCAUCAUGAGUCAGGCACUUUACUGUUAAAAGUGCAGGGUUUGGGCUAUUUAAUUAUUUGUUAGCCAUAAGAAUCUGAGGACUCACGAACCAUCUCUUUUGAGGAAUGCAGUGAUUUCAUCAGAUAAAUGUUUAAAGCAGGGCUAAGAUAGCAGACAACCACAGCAGAAAAAUAUUUUUUCCUUUGAGAUAACCUCUUAAAUAUAUACAUAUUUAAAACCAUUUUAUCUUUUCUGUCUGAUUCUAAGCACCCCUUCUGUCAGCAGCAGACAGAAUUAAAAAGAGAAAACCCUCAGUGGAUGCCUUUCUUUUUUUUGUGAAAUGUGUCAGAUGAUAAGCAAAAUGUAACUGGGUAUUUAUUCUACUUUUCAUGUGCCCUGCAAACUGUGGAAGGCAGCAAGAGAUAGAGCAGCAACAGCCUGAUAAGCCUGGCUUUUCCCUUUUUGCUGGCUUGCUAUUUACUUUACUUCCUAUGAGGGAACACUGGGCUAGAGACCAAAUGUCUUUACUCAUCUGGGAGAUUUUAAAGCUGCUGGGAAUAGACUGGUGCAAAAAGCAACUCCUUGAUUACAAGAUUUGUAGGUAAAUGUUACCCUUGCAAUAAUCAUCAUUUCCCCUCCAUCUCCUCCACAGCACAUUCUGUUCUAGCAGUCCUUAACAAACAAUAAUAGCAAAAAUAAGCCACAUUUUUUUUACACUGGUUAUUUUCUCUCUCCUUACUGAAAAGGACACAUAAUGGAAUGAAUCUGGUUUCCCAUCUGUUGCUAGGUGCAAUUCAAAGUGGCAGUUUUGACCUAUAAAGAUUUGGCUGUUUUGCGUCAUGCGUACCCUAGAGACAGCCUCUCCCCUUUAAUUUCUCUGUGUCUCCAUUUUCCAUCUGUGAAAAAUCAGGAUAACACUACUUUUCUACUUCACAGGGAUUUUACAAGGACACAUUUAUUAGCAGGCACAAAGCAUAGGCUUUGUAUUAGACACCAUGCAAAUAUCUAUGUCUUGCUGCUAUCCACAGAACCCGAGUUGAUUUACCUUCAUUAUGUGACAGAAGGUGAUUUGUUGUCCUAGGCUGCAUUAUGGAUGUCCAUCUCUGAAUCUUGCCAUUUUUAAACACAUUCAUAAUAAGAUACUUGAAAGUCAUCCAGCUGAGUUUGGUCUUUCCCAUUAAAUAGUUUGGGGCAUCCCAGGGGUAGGAAAUUAACCUAUCAUUAGCCUAUCAUUAAGUGUGUUUAUAUGUUGCACUUGUGGGUCCCAAAUAAAGAAAGGGCCGGUGGGAACCACAAACUAUUGGACUGGAGGAGGUGUUUGUAAGAUACUUACCUGUUUGGGAAUGUUUCCUCAGAGCAUGUAUCUCCAGAGCUGUGGUUGCCUGUUGUAUUAGAAGGGAAGUAGUUCUUCAGUCAGCUCCAUAAAUCAGUAGUUCUCAGGUGCAUUUUUGCAGUCACAUGCAGGUCAGGUUUAAGCAGUUCAACAUGCCUGUUUGAGAGAAGACAUCUCCAGGGCAUGUUGGUUGAUCAAAGUGGUAUUUUAGACUUGUACUAAAUUAUGGACUAAAUUAUGAACAAGAGUUCAGGGGACGGGUAGGGUGUUUUGAGGAGCAGUGGCUUUAUAGCAGCAAUCCUUCAGUGCAGACUCAGGGUAUUUCAUACAUCUCCUAUUUCCAAUGAGAUUGUUGGAAUGACAAAAUUCAAGCUCAGCAGUGAUAGUAGUUCUGUGACUGAACAGCAGACAAGGCAGCAGCUUUCCUUGUGGAUGAUUAGGAGACAUGAUCCAUAAGCUAGAGGGACUGUCUUGCUCAUUUUUGUGGGCUCUGUGCCUACCAGCUCUUUAUAACCCUUAGUAAAAUCUUUGGAGUCUUAUUUCCAGGCUGUGCUAAGCAUGGCUGGUGCAUAUGAUGUUAGCCCCCAGUGGGGAUAUUGGUAACUAUUCCCAGUCUCAUAGUGACAGAAAAGAUGCAGGCUGUGCCAAAGUAACACAUGGGAAAGUGUUAUAGGGUCUAUUAAAGAUCAUUGCAGUGUUUUAAGUUUUUCACCGUAUUAUAUCCAAUAUUACUCUAUUUUUUCAUAAUAUUAUCUUUGUAACAGUAAUGAAAAUUGACCUUGUUUAAUAAGAAACUCUUCUAUUAAAACUUGUGUGUAUGCAUACACAGGCUUUGCAGAAGAUGCAAAGUCUUCUGCAGAGAGCUGUACCAGCUUAAAAACAAGAAAAUUGGAACUGCCACGUUACCUUUCUAACUCCCCUUAAUUCUAUUAUUUGUGGUAGAAUUUUGCCUUUUUUAGGUUUAGCUACCUUUUAAGAAUCUCGUUGAGAGAAUUUAGAAUGAAUAGAUAAAAGGAAACUGCAGCAGAGCUUUCUUCAACCUGUGUUUAGGAACAUGUUACCGUAAUUGCAAAUAAGUGGUUAAUUAAAAUUUAGCUUAAAAUGUAUUCACUUUAGUUCACUAAACAAAACAGAACCCCUUCAUGUGAACAUCAAUGAUGUGGAAGCUGCAGUUUUGAGGUUUGGCAGUGACACAGCUUUUGAGAACUGGAAAGGCGUAUCAGGGAAAGAUAGAGACAGGGCCUCAUCCUGCAAGCCUUUACUGAUUUGAUAGCUCUUCUUAUUUCUUUAGGGCAUGUUUGCCUGUAGCACUGCAUUCCAGUGGAAAGGCUCUUAAUUUUGCUGAAAGGAUGGGGUCAGGAGGAGGUGACAUCUCCCUGCG
Long non-coding RNA from Passer domesticus (house sparrow), 3068 nucleotides. RefSeq lists it as uncharacterized. The record is from RefSeq and is a predicted model, not a curated record. Lineage: Eukaryota; Metazoa; Chordata; Aves; Passeriformes; Passeridae. The transcript has 4 exons.